AAGAAAGGCAGCUCGCAAGGGUUGCGCUGUUAGAUGAGUCCGCGGUCCAUCAGGUAGUUGGUGAGGUAACGGCUCACCAAGCNUAAGACGGAUAGCUGGUCUGAGAGGAUGAUCAGCCACACUGGAACUGAGACACGGUCCAGACUCCUACGGGAGGCAGCAGUGGGGAAUUUUGGACAAUGGGCGAAAGCCUGAUCCAGCAACGCCGCGUGGGUGAUGAAGGCCUUCGGGUUGUAAAGCCCUGUCGGGAGGGACGAAACCCCAGAUUAACAACCUGGGCUGACGGUACCUCCAAAGGAAGCACCGGCUAACUCUGUGCCAGCAGCCGCGGUAAUACAGAGGGUGCAAGCGUUGUUCGGAAUUACUGGGCGUAAAGCGCGUGUAGGCGGCGUGCCAAGUCUUGUGUGAAAGCCCCAGGCUCAACCUGGGAAGUGCGCAAGAUACUGGUGUGCUGGAGUGUUGGAGAGGAUGGCGGAAUUCCCGGUGUAGAGGUGAAAUUCGUAGAUAUCGGGAGGAACACCUGUGGCGAAGGCGGCCAUCUGGACAAUCACUGACGCUGAGACGCGAAAGCAUGGGGAGCAAACAGGAUUAGAUACCCUGGUAGUCCAUGCUGUAAACGAUGGAUGCUAGAUGUCGCGGGUAUUGACCCCUGCGGUGUCGACGCUAACGCAU
RNAcentral lists this ribosomal RNA (672 nucleotides) under uncultured delta proteobacterium. RNAcentral describes it as "bacterial SSU rRNA". It matches the Rfam family "Bacterial small subunit ribosomal RNA", at positions 199 to 860 of the family's 1533-position model. The record is from RNAcentral. Lineage: Bacteria; Deltaproteobacteria.